RNAcentral lists this ribosomal RNA (498 nucleotides) under Triticum aestivum (bread wheat). RNAcentral describes it as "partial small subunit ribosomal RNA". The record is from RNAcentral. Lineage: Eukaryota; Viridiplantae; Streptophyta; Magnoliopsida; Poales; Poaceae.
CUUUCCAAGAUUAAUCAAUAUUAUAAGCAAAGGAGUAAGAAGAAUUGGGUUUCUAAAGGUGAUCGUAAUACUAAAUUUUUUCAUCAGGCUGUUAUUAAGCGUAGGAAGAGAAAUACUAUCUGUUCUAUUAAGGAUGAACAUGACCUAAUUCACUAUCCUAAUGCCAUUAUGCAAACCUCUGUGAACUACUUCAACUAUAUUUUUUCAUCCCCUAAUGUGAAUCAGGGGUACAAUCAUAACAAUGAUCCUACUUAUUCCAUUCCGGAUAACGCUGAAAUCAUGCAGAUUCUCAAAGAUAUGAAGCUUAACGCUUCUCUUGGACCUGAUGGUUUCAAUGUUGAAUUUUAUUUAGCUACUUGGGACUGGAUUGGGGAAGAGGUAACUCAACUUGUUACUAAUUUUUAUCAAACAGCUACCCAUCCUUCUCAUAUUAAUAACACCAAUAUUGCUCUCAUUCCUAAGAAAUUGGUGCUCCUGCUUCCUACUGAUUACAGGCCU